AUGGAGUCAGUUUAAUCGAACUAUGAAAACCAGAUUACUUCUUUCACUGAAUACCUCGAAGAAUAUUUAGAUACAGAUGAGCUGGUAUGGAUCUUAGAAAAGCAGCAUCUUAUUAAAACAGAAACAUCUAAGCUCUUGUCUGAUAUAAGUGUUUGUCUAUAGUUUACAUACAGAAGGAAAUUUUCACCAAUUUGGGGAACGGGCCCUUCAUCAGAUGCUGGUUGGGGAUGUAUGCUAUGCUGUGGACAGAUGAUGCUGGCUCAAGCCCUUAUAUGUAGACACUUGGGAAAGGACUGUUAUUGGGAGAUAACAAAAAGAACAACAACAACAACAAUAAAAUACCAAUGGAUCCUACAGUGCUUCUUAGAGAGAAAAAAUUGUUGCUACACUAUCCAUCAAAUGGCACAAAUGCAUCAAAUGGCACAAACAUCCAUUGCACUGGCCUCGCCUUGUACCUCCAGCCAAGCCAGAAGUGACAACCACUGGGGCAUAAUUCAUUGACUCUACUGAACAACUGGAGGAGUUUGAUCUGGAGGAA
Molecule: long non-coding RNA, 538 nt
Filed under: Homo sapiens (human)
Lineage: Eukaryota; Metazoa; Chordata; Mammalia; Primates; Hominidae
Description: non-protein coding lnc-POU3F4-2:1
Source: RNAcentral